CCCUUAUCAAGAGAGGUGGAGGGACCUGGCCUAAGGAAGCCUCGGCAACUGAACAUUUCGGUGCCAAAUCCAGCAGAGGGAUCUGAGAGAUAAGGG
Molecule: non-coding RNA, 96 nt
Filed under: Lysinibacillus contaminans
Lineage: Bacteria; Bacillati; Bacillota; Bacilli; Caryophanales; Bacillaceae
Description: SAM-I sequence
Rfam family: SAM riboswitch aptamer (S box leader)
About the family: The SAM riboswitch is found upstream of a number of genes which code for proteins involved in methionine or cysteine biosynthesis in Gram-positive bacteria. The SAM riboswitch acts at the level of transcription termination control.
Source: RNAcentral